Molecule: ribosomal RNA, 441 nt
Filed under: uncultured bacterium
Lineage: Bacteria
Description: partial 16S ribosomal RNA
Rfam family: Bacterial small subunit ribosomal RNA
Source: RNAcentral
CCUACGGGAGGCAGCAGUGGGGAAUAUUGCGCAAUGGGGGCAACCCUGACGCAGCAACGCCGCGUGAUUGAAGAAGGCCUUCGGGUUGUAAAGAUCUUUAAUCGGGGACGAAUUUUGACGGUACCCGAAGAAUAAGCUCCGGCUAACUACGUGCCAGCAGGCGCGGUAAUACGGAGGGAGCAAGCGUUAUCCGGAUUUACUGGGGGUAUAGGGCGUGUAGGCGGGCAAGCAAGCCAGAAGUGAAAUCUAGGGGCUUAACCCCCAAACUGCCUUUGGAACUGCGUGGCUUGAGUGAUGGAGAGGCAGGCGGAAUUCCCGGUGUAGCGGUGAAAUGCGUAGAUAUUGGGAAGAACACCGAUUGCGAAGGCAGCCUACGGGACAUUUACUGACGCUGAGGCGCGAAGGCGUGGGGAGCAAACAGGAUUAGAUACCCCAGUAGUC